This is a transfer RNA of Ophiocordyceps sinensis CO18, 73 nucleotides long. It matches the Rfam family "tRNA". Rfam says of the family: Transfer RNA (tRNA) molecules are approximately 80 nucleotides in length. Their secondary structure includes four short double-helical elements and three loops (D, anti-codon, and T loops). Further hydrogen bonds mediate the characteristic L-shaped molecular structure. tRNAs have two regions of fundamental functional importance: the anti-codon, which is responsible for specific mRNA codon recognition, and the 3' end, to which the tRNAs corresponding amino acid is attached (by aminoacyl-tRNA synthetases). tRNAs cope with the degeneracy of the genetic code in two manners: having more than one tRNA (with a specific anti-codon) for a particular amino acid; and 'wobble' base-pairing, i.e. permitting non-standard base-pairing at the 3rd anti-codon position. Lineage: Eukaryota; Fungi; Ascomycota; Sordariomycetes; Hypocreales; Ophiocordycipitaceae. The record is from Rfam.
AGGGUUAUAGCUUAAUUGGUAAAGCAUACUGCUCAUAACAGUAAAAAUAAGUGUUCGAUUCACUUUAGCCCUA